AGAGUUGAUCCUGGCUUAGGACGAACGCUGGCGGCGUGCCUAACACAUGCAAGUCGAACGGAGACAGAAAGCUUGCUUUCUGUCUUAGUGGCGGACGGGUGAGUAACGCGUGAGCAACCUGCCUACAGAGGGGGAUAGCCAUUGGAAACGAUGGAUAAUACCGCAUAACGUAUACGCAUGGCAUCUUGUGUAUACCAAAGGAGCAAUCCGGCUGUAAGAUGGGCUCGCGUCCGAUUAGAUAGUUGGCGGGGCAACGGCCCACCAAGUCGACGAUCGGUAGCCGGACUGAGAGGUUGAACGGCACAUUGGACUGAGACACGGCCCAGACUCCUACGGGAGGCAGCAGUGAGGGAUAUUGCACAAUGGGCGAAAGCCUGAUGCAAGCAACGCCGCGUGAGGGAUGACGGUUUUCGGAUUGUAAACCUCUGUCUUCGGUGAAGAUAAUGACAUUAGCCGAGGAGGAAGCCACGGCUAACUACGUGCCAGCAGCCGC
RNAcentral lists this ribosomal RNA (493 nucleotides) under uncultured bacterium. RNAcentral describes it as "bacterial SSU rRNA". It matches the Rfam family "Bacterial small subunit ribosomal RNA", at positions 8 to 518 of the family's 1533-position model. The record is from RNAcentral.